Hemicordylus capensis (graceful crag lizard) is the source of this 72-nucleotide non-coding RNA. NCBI's taxonomy places the organism in Eukaryota, Metazoa, Chordata, Lepidosauria, Squamata, Cordylidae. The record is from the annotation of a RefSeq genome assembly.
GGGGCCAUAGCUCAGUGGUAGAGCUUCUGCUUUGGAUGCAGAAGGUCCCAGGUUCAAUCCCAGGGGUCUCCA